CUCGUAGGCGGUUCGUCGCGUCCGAUGUGAAAGUCCAUCGCUUAACGGUGGAUCUGCGCCGGGUACGGGCGGGCUGGAGUGCGGUAGGGGAGACUGGAAUUCCCGGUGUAGCGGUGGAAUGUGUAGAUAUCGGGAAGAACACCAAUGGCGAAGGCAGGUCUCUGGGCCGUUACUGACGCUGAGGAGCGAAAGCGUGGGGAGCGAACA
RNAcentral lists this ribosomal RNA (207 nucleotides) under uncultured bacterium. RNAcentral describes it as "partial 16S ribosomal RNA". It matches the Rfam family "Bacterial small subunit ribosomal RNA", at positions 568 to 774 of the family's 1533-position model. The record is from RNAcentral.